GCGGAGGCUGAAACAGCUCCUGACCAGGGCGUUCGUACUGCACGUUUGACGGUCUUGAAAACCGUCGUGGCAGCGAUGUCACCGUGGGUUCAAAUCCCACACCCACCGCG
RNAcentral lists this transfer RNA (110 nucleotides) under Streptomyces avermitilis. Its description in RNAcentral is "tRNA-Ser". RNAcentral also lists the same sequence under 2 other names. The record is from RNAcentral. Lineage: Bacteria; Bacillati; Actinomycetota; Actinomycetes; Kitasatosporales; Streptomycetaceae.